AACGCACGAGACCUGCGGACCUGCGGAAGGAUCAUUAAUGAGAAACUGCCCCUCGCGGGUAGAUCUCCCACCCUUUGUAAACUUACCUUUGUUGCUUUGGCAGGCCCGUCUCCGGACCGCCGGCUUCGGCUGGCCAGUGCCUGCCAGAGGAUUCUAAAACUCUGUCUGUCAGUGUUGUCUGAGUCUAUUUACAAUCGUUAAAACUUUUAACAAUGGAUCUCUAGAUCGGAAGAGCACACG
This 240-nucleotide unclassified non-coding RNA is filed under the name soil metagenome. RNAcentral's name for it is "partial contains 5.8S ribosomal RNA, internal transcribed spacer 2, and large subunit ribosomal RNA". The record is from RNAcentral.